This 906-nucleotide long non-coding RNA is filed under the name Chrysolophus pictus (golden pheasant). Its description in RNAcentral is "lncRNA (ENSCPIG00010001311.1)". Lineage: Eukaryota; Metazoa; Chordata; Aves; Galliformes; Phasianidae. The record is from RNAcentral.
CCCCAGGAGGGGGGGCUCUCACCUGCUUCUUGCUACAGCCCGACUGCACCAAGAUGGCGAGGUCGCCGACCUCGUGCGGGACCUCGUGGAGGAGCACCGUCAACGCCGUCACCGUCCCCACGGCCGGGCCGGCCACGAAGGACGCCCCGAUGGCCAGACCGUCCGUCACGUUGUGAGCCACGUCGGCCGCCAGGUUCAGGUAGCCAGAAACCUGCAUGGCUGCGGGGUGGGGGGGACAGCGGGGUCCACAGUGGUGGCCGGAAUGGAGGCCCCAAUGGUGACCCCAAUACUGGUCCUGAUGGUGGCCCCGAUGGUGGCCCCAAUAGUGGUCCUGAUGGUGGCCCCGAUGGUGUUCCUAAUAGUGGUCCUGAUGGUGGCCCCAAUAGUGGUCCUGAUGGUGGCCCCAAUAGUGGUCCCGAUGGUGGCCCCAAUGGCGGCCCCAGUGGUGACCCCGAUGGUGGCCUGAUAGUGACCUCAACGGUGUUCCCAAUAAUGGUCCUGAUGGUGGCCCCAAUGGCGACCCCAAUAGGAGUCUUAAUGGUGGCCCCAAUGGUGGCCCCAAUGGUGAUCCUAAUGGUGGCCCGACAAUGACCUCAAUGCUGUUCCCAAUAGUGUUCCUGAUGGUGGCCCCAAUGGUGACCCCAAAGUUGUCCCAAUGGUGGCCCCAAUAGGGGUCUCAAUGGUGGCCCCAAUGGUGACCCCGAUGGUGGCCCGAUAGUGACCCCAAUGGUGGCCCCAAUGGUGCUCCUGAUGGUGGCCCCCAUGGUGGUCCCAAUGGUGGCUCCAAUAGUAGCCCCAGUGGUGACCCCAAUGGUGGCCCAAAUGGUGACCCCGAUGGUGGCCCAAUAGUGACCUCAAUGCUGUUCCCAAUAGUGGUCCCGAUGGUGGCCCCAGUGGUGACCCCAG